RNAcentral lists this small nuclear RNA (107 nucleotides) under Sciurus vulgaris (Eurasian red squirrel). The record is from RNAcentral. Lineage: Eukaryota; Metazoa; Chordata; Mammalia; Rodentia; Sciuridae.
GUGCUGGCUUCAGCAGCACAUAUACUAAAAUUGAAACCAUACAGAGAAGAUUAGCAUGACCACUGAGCAAGAAUGACACACAAAUUCAUGAAACAUUCCAUAUUUUU